This 499-nucleotide long non-coding RNA is filed under the name Homo sapiens (human). RNAcentral describes it as "HSALNT0255198". Lineage: Eukaryota; Metazoa; Chordata; Mammalia; Primates; Hominidae. The record is from RNAcentral.
CUCAGUUGUCUCUGGGUCCUAGGAUUCCAGCCUAGGCCUGAAGGGAUUUCCCUGGGUAAGCAUCUGGGGCAGGCCAUGCAUGGCCAUGACUCCAACCCAAGGGCUGGAGACAAGGGGAUGGGGGAUGUCUUAUCUUGCAGUUUCAGCCAGGCUUGGAGGAUCUUUGCCUGGAGUGUAGCCCUGCAGCCGGAAGGCAGCUGUGUCUGUGGUUGGGGUAUGCAGCUACAGCUAAGGAGAAUUUGUGUCUGACCUGAGAUCCCAGCUCACACCUGAGGAAUGCAUGCUUGGAGCUGUGGCUGGUGGCUGAGACAUCUUUGGCUGUGAUCACAAAGGACCCUGGGGGAAAUUCCUGGCCAUUGUUGGAAGCUGUGGCUCUGAUACCUGGGGCUCCAGCUCAGAGCUGGAGGCUCCUCCGCCAGGACUACAGCCCUGUGGCUGGGGAGGGGGUGGCUGAACCCAUGUCUUAUGGCUGGGGGGAGUGGCUGGAGGCUGAGGCUUG